Molecule: ribosomal RNA, 484 nt
Filed under: uncultured bacterium
Lineage: Bacteria
Description: partial 16S ribosomal RNA
Rfam family: Bacterial small subunit ribosomal RNA
Source: RNAcentral
GAUGAACGCUGGCGGCGUGCUUAACACAUGCAAGUCGAACGGUGAAGCAGGAGCUUGCUCUUGUGGAUCAGUGGCGAACGGGUGAGUAACACGUGAGCAACCUGCCCCUGACUCUGGGAUAAGCGCUGGAAACGGCGUCUAAUACUGGAUAUGUGAUGUGACCGCAUGGUCUGCAUCUGGAAAGAAUUUCGGUUGGGGAUGGUCUCGCGGCCUAUCAGCUUGUUGGUGAGGUAAUUGCUCACCAAGGCGUCGACGGGUAGCCGGCCUGAGAGGGUGACCGGCCACACUGGGACUGAGAAACGGCCCGGACUCCUACGGGAGGCAGCAGUGGGGGAUAUUGCACAAUGGGCGGAAGCCUGAUGCAGCAACGCCGCGUGAGAGAUGACGGACUUCGGGUUGUAAACCUCUUUUAGCAGGGAAGAAGCGAAAGUGACGGUACCUGCAGAAAAAGCACCGGCUAACUACGUGCCAGCCGCCGCGGUAA